GCCAGACUCCUACGGGAGGCAGCAGUGAGGAAUAUUGGUCAAUGGCCGGAAGGCUGAACCAGCCAAGUCGCGUGAGGGAAUAAGGCCCUAUGGGUCGUAAACCUCUUUUGUCAGGGAGCAAAGGCGUCCACGCGUGGACGAGAGGAGAGUACCUGAAGAAAAAGCAUCGGCUAACUCCGUGCCAGCAGCCGCGGUAAUACGGAGGAUGCGAGCGUUAUCCGGAUUUAUUGGGUUUAAAGGGUGCGUAGGCGGAGUGUCAAGUCAGCGGUAAAAUUUCGGGGCUCAACCCCGUCGUGCCGUUGAAACUGCAUCCCUUGAGUGCGCGAGAAGUAUGCGGAAUGCGUGGUGUAGCGGUGAAAUGCAUAGAUAUCACGCAGAACCCCGAUUGCGAAGGCAGCAUACCGGCGCCCUACUGACGCUGAGGCACGAAAGCGUGGGUAUCGAACAGGAUUAGAUACCCGAGUACG
RNAcentral lists this ribosomal RNA (467 nucleotides) under uncultured bacterium. RNAcentral describes it as "bacterial SSU rRNA". It matches the Rfam family "Bacterial small subunit ribosomal RNA", at positions 330 to 793 of the family's 1533-position model. The record is from RNAcentral.